This 106-nucleotide transfer RNA is filed under the name Ustilago trichophora. It matches the Rfam family "tRNA". Rfam says of the family: Transfer RNA (tRNA) molecules are approximately 80 nucleotides in length. Their secondary structure includes four short double-helical elements and three loops (D, anti-codon, and T loops). Further hydrogen bonds mediate the characteristic L-shaped molecular structure. tRNAs have two regions of fundamental functional importance: the anti-codon, which is responsible for specific mRNA codon recognition, and the 3' end, to which the tRNAs corresponding amino acid is attached (by aminoacyl-tRNA synthetases). tRNAs cope with the degeneracy of the genetic code in two manners: having more than one tRNA (with a specific anti-codon) for a particular amino acid; and 'wobble' base-pairing, i.e. permitting non-standard base-pairing at the 3rd anti-codon position. The record is from Rfam by way of RNAcentral. Lineage: Eukaryota; Fungi; Basidiomycota; Ustilaginomycetes; Ustilaginales; Ustilaginaceae.
GGCUGGUUGGUGAAGUGGCCUAACACACUGGUUUUAGGAAGCCACGUCUGACCAAGACGAUGAUUUACCCCACCAGGAUUCCUGGGUUCGAAUCCCAGACUAGUCA